UGGGGAAUUUUGUGCAAUGGGCGAAAGCCUGACACAGCGACACCGCGUGAGCGAAGAAGCCCUUUGGGGUGUAAAGCUCUGUCAGCUGGAACGAAACAAAUGACGGUACCAGCAGAGGAAGCAUCGGCUAACUACGUGCCAGCAGCCGCGGUAAGACGUAGGAUGCGAGCGUUGUCCGGAUUUAUUGGGCGUAAAGAGUUCGUAGGUGGUUUGUUAAGUCUGAUGUUAAAGAUCGGGGCUCAACUUCGAGAGUGCAUUGGAUACUGGCAGACUGGAGUGCAGUAGAGGCGAGUGGAAUUCCCAGUGUAGCGGUGAAAUGCGUAGAUAUUGGGAAGAACACCAGUGGCGUAAGCGACUCGCUGGGCUGUAACUGACACUGAGGAACGAAAGCCAGGGUAGCGAAUGGG
This 407-nucleotide ribosomal RNA is filed under the name uncultured bacterium. RNAcentral describes it as "bacterial SSU rRNA". It matches the Rfam family "Bacterial small subunit ribosomal RNA", at positions 355 to 776 of the family's 1533-position model. The record is from RNAcentral.